RNAcentral lists this ribosomal RNA (1485 nucleotides) under Triticum aestivum (bread wheat). Its description in RNAcentral is "partial small subunit ribosomal RNA". Lineage: Eukaryota; Viridiplantae; Streptophyta; Magnoliopsida; Poales; Poaceae. The record is from RNAcentral.
GCAAAUUUUUCACAAUCAUUUUCUCGUUAUCGCGUGGACGAAGUAAACUUCUUAUUGUUUUUUUACAGAACAAAUCACAGAGCCUUUUGCUGUGAGCUGCAUCACCUUUUUUCUGAACAUCCUAGAACGAAGCAAUGAACGGCGACCCAGAGGCAAAUUGAAAACUGCAUGAUGCACAGCAAAAUCUGUAACAUAAAUAGAGGACUAAUCUGCACAAUCCAUCCAUGCCAUACAAGCGCGCUGCGCCCUCCGCACUGCGUGCACACUCGCUCUCAACUACAUGGCCGAGGUUUGCGGACUCCACCGCUGUGGUAGAUGGACAGCAGGCAAGGCAGCCAGGGGACGCGGGGUGUGAGGUCGGCCCUGACUUGCGAGAUGCCGCCGUCAGCCUAUCCGUGGCGUGCCGCCCCGGCCUGCUUGUCGAGGGAAGCUGGGAAGGAAUGUACUAUAUAAAGCUGCAUAUUGCUCGACGGAGACCCACUGGAGAGAUUGUGAACCCAAGGGCGGAGCCAUUCCUUUCUGCGGUUCUCUCCUGCCAAAAAAAUCAAAUGUGAACGCACAUAAACAUUGAACCGAAUUGGAUACAAAAAACAAUAACAAAAUCAAAUCGAAGAACUGCAUGACGGAGACUCAUUUUUGUGAGAUUUGUGGCAGUUGGGGGGUGUUGCACAAGGAGGAAUUGGAGAUGGGAAAGAGAGAGAGCUCCCUCUGAACGGCAUAUGUGCAUCCACAAACAAAAAAAACGAAAAAAGAACUGCGCGUGUGCUACAAAUCAAAUCACACUGGAGCUCUUAGGCUCGGGCCAGGGCGCCGCAGCUUCAGCCUCCUCCUUGUGGUUGGGAGCCGCCGUCCGUUGGUGCUACCAUAAAGAGAUGCAUGCGCCAUAGGGAGGGAAGAACGGGGGAAUGUUCUGGUUUUGGUCGGAUCCAUCUGUAGCGGGUCGCACAGGACCAUGGCUGGUCGGAUCCGUCGAUUGGUGGGGCAGGCUCGCGAGCAGUGUAUUUUGCGCGAAUCCGGCAACCGCCGAGGCAGGGCGUUGGGGUGUGGCGACGGUUUGUUGGGGGAGACAGGGGAGGAAGGAAGAAGAAGGUGGGGCAUCGGGGCAGAGCAUGGGGGCGGCUGGCAGGGAGCUGUGUGGCAUCGACGGGGAGAGAUGGGGAGUCAGCGUUGGUUGGAGGGGAAGGUGGUGGCAUGGUGUGGUGUCGCGGUGGUCGGGAGGCCGUCCCGUGGUCGCCGGCCAGAUCCCGGAAGGAGGUGGGAGGGUGGAGCGCCGCGGUGGUCGGGGUCACCGGCCAGAUCCUGAAGGUGGUGGCCGGGGUGGGCGGCGCAGGGUGGUCGGUGGCCGGGGAGGGUGGUGCGGGGUGGUGGCCGGCGGCGGGCGGCGUGGGAUGGUUGGUGGCCAGGUUGGGCGGCGGUGCGUGUGGGAUGGGUCGGGAGGUGGGGGGAGCCCAGUUGACCAGGGGAGCGUAGCGAGGUGGGGGUGUU